Molecule: ribosomal RNA, 440 nt
Filed under: uncultured bacterium
Lineage: Bacteria
Description: partial 16S ribosomal RNA
Rfam family: Bacterial small subunit ribosomal RNA
Source: RNAcentral
CCUACGGGCGGCUGCAGUGGGGAAUAUUGCACAAUGGGGGAAACCCUUAUGCAGCGACGCCGCGUGAGUGAAGAAGUAAUUCGUUAUGUAAAGCUCUAUCAGCAGGGAAGAAAAUGACGGUACCUGAGUAAGAAGCCCCGGCUAACUACGUGCCAGCAGCCGCGGUAAUACGUAGGGGGCAAGCGUUAUCCGGAUUUACUGGGUGGAAAGGGAGCGUAGACGGCAGUGCAAGUCUGGAGUGAAAGGCGGGGGCUCAACCCCCGGACUGCUCUGGAAACUGUACGGCUGGAGUGCAGGAGAGGUAAGUGGAAUUCCUAGUGUAGCGGUGAAAUGCGUAGAUAUUAGGAGGAACACCAGUGGCGAAGGCGGCUUACUGGACUGUAACUGACGUUGAGGCUCGAAAGCGUGGGGAGCAAACAGGAUUAGAUACCCGAGUAGUC